AUGCAUGUCACACUUCCUGGGAAAUGCAGGGAAAGAAAUUACCUACAGCCAGUUUUUGAUGGACUUUCAGGCACCAGGGCAGAGGGUGGCAUGAAGGCAGUGCCAAAUCCCUGCCAGAGAUACUGGAGCGGUUGUUCAGUGGAACAGGAAGUGUUUCAGCAAGCAGUGGAACGAGUCAAGCCUGGUUUCCGAGGACCACGCAUUGUCCAGCCACCAGCACUCUGUGUCUAUAUGGUAUCCAUACCCAUUGGAUGUGCAUGGUGAGGCAGAUAAAGAAAAUGGAGGUGAUUUCCCACUUUUCUUCUGGCCUAGGGCAGGGCUUACUUUUUCUGGCAAUUUUUCACCUUCAGCAUCGAGUUCAGGUAGCUUCUAAUGGUAAAACAUUUAAAAAAGUCAUAACGUGCCUAAAUUGAAGGCAAAAUAACUGUGAAUGUGAACUGGAGAAGAGGGAUAGGGGUUCCCGAACACAAAACUUGCCAGACUGAUGGAUUGGGCUUCUGACUGAAGAAUGUGCCUAUUGCUGUGUUUAGUGUGUUCAGAAAAACACAAUCUCAACCUUGUUUUUCUGUAAGUAGGUCAGUACACUACCUCAGAUUCCCUGUUCUCGAUCAUUAUAGAAACAACCUGGCAGGGCCCUGAAUUUUGGCUAACUUAUUAGUCCUGUAGUGUGACAGUACAUAGUUGUCUGAAGGUUCUGUCAAAAAAAGAGAUAGUUCAAUGAACACUCAAAUUUGAAUACUGAAAUUAUUUAGCCAUACAGGAUUGCCUGUUUCUCUUUAAUUCUGAUUUGUUGUUUUGCUUUGUUUUGUUUGUUGUUGUUGUUGUUUUUUAAUUUUAUUUUUUUAAAUGCCUUUUGUUAAUUCAGGUUCACAGAAAACUGUUCACAUCCUGCAGCAAAAGAUAGAGACAGAUUCUACCCUACAAGAUUGGAGAGGUAUCUGCGUGAUUCAUCACCGAGUUGCAGUUGCAUCUGUAAACUGCUAAAUGUGCUUACCCAGUAGAGAACUUGAGCAAGACAAGGUGGUCUGUAGUGAAGGCUACAUGCUUACAGUGCAAGAACUAAGGCAUGUGGCCAGAAAAAGAAAAAAAAAGGGAUGACUGUUGCACUGCUAUGUUUCAUACUGUCUUGACACCAGAACAGCUUUUGAGCUUGGGUAACUUUGAGGAUGCUAUGCUCUAAGCUAGCAGCAAUUAUGUGGAGGUACAGGCAUGUCAGAAGAGCAGCUUCUGGUCUCUUGUGCCUCCAGUCCUGUGUUUGAUCACU
RNAcentral lists this long non-coding RNA (1264 nucleotides) under Anser cygnoides (Swan goose). RNAcentral's name for it is "lncRNA (ENSACDG00005001653.1)". The record is from RNAcentral. Lineage: Eukaryota; Metazoa; Chordata; Aves; Anseriformes; Anatidae.